CGGAGGAUCCGAGCGUUAUCCGGAUUUAUUGGGUUUAAAGGGUGCGUAGGCGGUUUGAUAAGUUAGAGGUGAAAUGUCGGGGCUCAACCCCGAAACUGCCUCUAAUACUGUUGGACUAGAGAAUAGUUGCGGUAGGCGGAAUGUAUGGUGUAGCGGUGAAAUGCUUAGAGAUCAUACAGAACACCGAUUGCGAAGGCAGCUUACCAAACUAUAUCUGACGUUGAGGCACGAAAGCGUGGGUAGCAAA
Molecule: ribosomal RNA, 247 nt
Filed under: uncultured bacterium
Lineage: Bacteria
Description: partial 16S ribosomal RNA
Rfam family: Bacterial small subunit ribosomal RNA
Source: RNAcentral